CCUCUUCCCCUUGUCUCUCCA
RNAcentral lists this microRNA (21 nucleotides) under Pan troglodytes (chimpanzee). Its description in RNAcentral is "ptr-miR-1236". The record is from miRBase by way of RNAcentral. Lineage: Eukaryota; Metazoa; Chordata; Mammalia; Primates; Hominidae.